Molecule: ribosomal RNA, 502 nt
Filed under: uncultured bacterium
Lineage: Bacteria
Description: partial 16S ribosomal RNA
Rfam family: Bacterial small subunit ribosomal RNA
Source: RNAcentral
AUUGAACGCUGGCGGAAUGCUUUACACAUGCAAGUCGAACGGCAGUACGGGUGCUUGCACCUGGUGGCGAGUGGCGAACGGGUGAGUAAUACAUCGGAACGUACCCAGUUGUGGGGGAUAACUAACCGAAAGGUUAGCUAAUACCGCAUACGACCUGAGGGUGAAAGCGGGGGACCGUAAGGCCUCGCGCAAUUGGAGCGGCCGAUGUCUGAUUAGCUAGUUGGUAGGGUAAAGGCCUACCAAGGCGACGAUCAGUAGCUGGUCUGAGAGGAUGAUCAGCCACACUGGAACUGAGACACGGUCCAGACUCCUACGGGAGGCAGCAGUGGGGAAUUUUGGACAAUGGGCGAAAGCCUGAUCCAGCCAUUCCGCGUGAGUGAAGAAGGCCUUCGGGUUGUAAAGCUCUUUCGGCAGGGAAGAAACGGCCUAGGUUAAUACCUUGGGCUAAUGACGGUACCUGAAGAAGAAGCACCGGCUAACUACGUGCCAGCAGCCGCCGUAA